GGGAAACAGUUGGAGGCAAGAGCCAACUGCUUGACUGGAUUUGAGGUCUUUGGGUUUUCUGGCUGACUGAAGGAAGAAGCUGGGAUCACAGACCCUAGGUGAAGAAUUCACUGGGCAGAGGGAAAAGUCAUAGAUAUUCUGGGUGAAUGGAAGAAGCAUCAUGAGCAAAGAGGCAGGGUGCAAUAAUGGAAUAAUACAUUGGAUAUUGAAUGUAAUGGAAUACAAUAAGGCCUGAAUGGAAUGGAAGGAACCAACUCCCAGCAUCAAUGGUGGCCAUUUCAUCCAAUGGAAGCAGAUGUUGCAUGCCGAAGGACCACAGGACCCAUUCCUCUGGACCUUCCAUACAUUCCACUCAACUCAAAGUUACUUCCAUUGCUACGAGGUACACCAGUUUCAUCCAACAUUGUGUAAUACUCAAGCUCUGAUUUCCUUAAAUCAAGACAACUGUUGGCUUUGUUUUUAGCCUGAUCAUUUUUAGAAUCUGUUUGUAACCCAGCACAUGUUUGUCAUCUUUCAUUACCAGUAGAGCCUAGACUCCAGAUAUUUUAUUUUCUCUGCAGUCACCAUCAUCUCUUCUUCAACCAGAGACCUGCUACCAAGAUGACUGAAAGUGAAAAAAAGAAGGCUACAUUAAGUCCACCAUCCAUUUAUGUUGUUUUGGUUGAUCAUUCAUUCAGUUUCUUCAUUCAG
Molecule: long non-coding RNA, 690 nt
Filed under: Monodelphis domestica (gray short-tailed opossum)
Lineage: Eukaryota; Metazoa; Chordata; Mammalia; Didelphimorphia; Didelphidae
Description: lncRNA (ENSMODG00000032291.2)
Source: RNAcentral